Molecule: non-coding RNA, 172 nt
Organism: Oryza glumipatula
Lineage: Eukaryota; Viridiplantae; Streptophyta; Magnoliopsida; Poales; Poaceae
Source: Rfam
AAUAAACGCAGUUGUGAGUUUCAGUGUCGAACUUUGACCAUCUGUCCUAUUUGAAAUAUUUUUAUGAUUAAUAUCUUUAUUGUUAUUAGAUGAUAAAAUAAGAAUAGUAUUUUAUUAGAUGAUAAGAUGGGCGAUCAAACGUUAGACACGAAAAUUUAUGGCUGCACUUAUA